GAUAUGGCUCAGGAUGAACGCUGGCGGCGUGCCUAAUACAUGCAAGUAGAACGCUGAAGGAAGGAGCUUGCUCUUUCCGGAUGAGUUGCGAACGGGUGAGUAACGCGUAGGUAACCUGCCUGGUAGCGGGGGAUAACUAUUGGAAACGAUAGCUAAUACCGCAUAACAGUAGAUAUUGCAUGAUAUUUGCUUGAAAGGGGCAAUUGCUCCACUACCAGAUGGACCUGCGUUG
Molecule: ribosomal RNA, 232 nt
Filed under: uncultured bacterium
Lineage: Bacteria
Description: partial 16S ribosomal RNA
Rfam family: Bacterial small subunit ribosomal RNA
Source: RNAcentral